AUGUGCGGCAUACUGGCGGUGCUGGGGUGCGGCGACGAGUCGCAGGGGAAGAGGGUCCACGUCCUCGAGCUCUCUCGCAGGCUCAAGCACCGCGGCCCGGACUGGAGCGGCCUGCACCAGGUCGCCGACAACUACCUAUGCCACCAGCGCCUGGCCAUCAUCGACCCGGCCUCCGGCGACCAGCCGCUCUACAACGAGGACAAGUCCGUCUCCGUCGCCGUGAACGGGGAGAUUUACAACCAUGAGGAGCUCCGGGCACGGCUCUCCGGCCACAGGUUCCGGACCGGCAGUGACUGCGAGGUCAUCGCCCAUCUGUAUGAGGAAUACGGAGAAAGAUUCAUUGACAUGUUGGAUGGUGUUUUCUCCUUCGUGUUGCUUGACGCACGAGAUAAGAGCUUCAUUGCUGCUCGUGAUGCCAUUGGUGUCACGCCUCUCUACAUUGGCUGGGGAAUUGAUGGUUCAGUGUGGAUAUCUUCGGAGAUGAAAGGACUAAACGAUGAUUGUGAGCACUUCGAGAUCUUCCCGCCUGGUAAUCUUUACUCCAGCAAAGAAAAGUGCUUCAAGAGAUGGUAUAACCCUCCUUGGUUCUCUGAGGUCAUCCCCUCGGUUCCCUAUGACCCACUGCGUCUCAGAUCGGCAUUUGAAAAGGCUGUAAUCAAGAGGCUCAUGACAGAUGUUCCAUUUGGUGUCCUCCUCUCCGGUGGCCUCGACUCAUCACUGGUGGCGGCUGUCGCAGCCCGUCAUUUCGCAGGGACAAAGGCUGCAAAGCGCUGGGGAACUAGGCUCCACUCCUUCUGUGUUGGGCUUGAGGGCUCACCGGAUCUCAAGGCUGCAAAGGAGGUCGCGGAUCACCUGGGUACCGUGCACCAUGAGUUCAACUUCACAGUUCAGGACGGCAUCGAUGCAAUUGAAGAUGUGAUAUAUCACAUUGAGACAUAUGAUGUGACGACGAUCAGGGCAAGCACAUUGAUGUUCCAGAUGUCACGCAAGAUCAAGGCGCUUGGUGUCAAGAUGGUCAUCUCUGGUGAGGGUGCCGACGAAAUCUUUGGAGGGUACUUGUAUUUCCACAAGGCCCCUAACAAGGAGGAGUUCCACCAGGAAACAUGUCGGAAGAUUAAAGCUCUCCAUCAGUACGAUUGCUUGAGGGCUAACAAAGCAACAUCUGCAUGGGGCCUUGAGGUUCGUGUGCCAUUCUUGGACAAGGAGUUCAUCGAUGAGGCUAUGAGCAUAGAUCCCGAAUGGAAGAUGAUCCGGCCUGAUCUUGGAAGAAUUGAGAAAUGGAUACUGAGGAAAGCGUUCGAUGAUGAGGAGCAACCCUUCCUGCCGAAGCAUAUUCUGUACAGGCAGAAGGAGCAGUUUAGUGAUGGUGUUGGGUAUAGCUGGAUUGAUGGCCUGAAGGAUCAUGCAGCAUCAAAUGUGAGUGAUAAGAUGAUGUCCAAUGCAAAGUUCAUCUACCCACACAACACCCCAACAACUAAAGAGGCCUACUAUUACAGGAUGAUCUUCGAGAGGUACUUCCCCCAGAGCUCGGCCAUCCUGACGGUGCCAGGCGGGCCAAGCGUGGCGUGCAGCACAGCCAAGGCUAUAGAGUGGGAUGCCCAGUGGUCUGGAAACCUGGACCCCUCUGGGAGAGCAGCGCUUGGAGUCCAUCUCUCAGCCUACGAGCAGGACACAGUCGCUGUGGGAGGUAGCAACAAGCAUGGGGUGAUGAAGACCGUGGUGCCUGGUGUUGCCAUUGAGACCUGA
This 1746-nucleotide ribosomal RNA is filed under the name Triticum aestivum (bread wheat). Its description in RNAcentral is "partial small subunit ribosomal RNA". Lineage: Eukaryota; Viridiplantae; Streptophyta; Magnoliopsida; Poales; Poaceae. The record is from RNAcentral.